UAGAUAGAUGGAUAUGUCGGU
This 21-nucleotide unclassified non-coding RNA is filed under the name Chlamydomonas reinhardtii. RNAcentral's name for it is "small RNA Cre_2283". The record is from RNAcentral. Lineage: Eukaryota; Viridiplantae; Chlorophyta; Chlorophyceae; Chlamydomonadales; Chlamydomonadaceae.